This 1515-nucleotide long non-coding RNA is filed under the name Salmo salar (Atlantic salmon). Its description in RNAcentral is "lncRNA (ENSSSAG00000105387.1)". The record is from RNAcentral. Lineage: Eukaryota; Metazoa; Chordata; Actinopteri; Salmoniformes; Salmonidae.
GGACUAGGCUACUUUUAGAUUUACACUUUAUCCCUCCAUAGUAUUUCCUCCAUAGUAUUUGCUUUACAUGCGUGGUUUAAUAGUUUAAAAUAUUUUCCUUUUCAAUCAUGAACAUAAUUAUAAAGACAUCGUAUGUAAGCAUCCAUGCGUAAAGAUCAACCCGUACAGACUUGUUUGAAUUAAUGUGUUGCGCCAUUCGGAGAUGUGCUUAGCCUACUCUGUAAUUUAACCAGUUUCUGUUUCUACUGUGUGCAUAAGGGCCCAAAGUGGCAUUUGUAUUUAUACCGUGCAUCAAUUAUAUUUUGUGCACACAUCCAGAUACUCAGCUCGUUUGUGUGAUUACUUUUUUUAGGGACGGGAGAGAUUCUCUGAUUAUUUAUUUGAAUGGUGGUGGACAGGUCGCGGUUAUCCGGACAGGAGCCUAUUACGCCCUGUCUUAAAUCGCUGGAUAACAAAGUUGUCCUUCCUCUGUGUGACUGUGAGUGAGUUGGCUCAGCCCCUCCCUCAGCCCUUCCUCACACAUCUUUGGUUGAUACUGCGUGUCUGAUUGACAGGAACAACCAGAUUCGGCUCUUCUGAUAUGCGAACAAGCUCCCAACGUUCACCUACAAGAGCCGGCUCUUAGAGCCAACUCGUUCGCGAACGACCCAUCACUACUGAGGAAAGAAAGAAAGAAAGGGAGAGAGAUGCUUUUGUGAAGCGGGAAAACAUUUUAUGUACUAAAAAUCGUUUUUCCCCGAAUUGGGUUGAACUGCACUGUUGUUCUGCCCCUGAACAAGGCACUGUUCUUAGGCCGUCAUUGUAAAUAAGAAUUUGUUCUUAACUGACUUGCCUAGUUAAAUAAAGGUUAAAAAUAAGUUUGGACUUGGACAUUACAUGGAAGGUAAUGACUGGAGAACCUAAAGCGAGAACAGGAGAAGAAAAAUAAACUGAGUCCACUGAAGAAACAAAUAAAACUGAAGAAGCAACAGAAGCAACUGAAGCUGAGGAAACAUAUAGAACAAAUGAGGAUGAAACAAAUGAGGUUAAGAAAUAAGAAAUCUGAUUCAGUUGAAGACAACUCAGAAGAAAUGAAGGAAGCAGAAGCAGAGAUAAGAUGAUCUCUAAGAACUAAGAAAGCUCCUACACUGCUGACCUAUGACACACCUGGAGUUCCUAGUGUGGUGUCUGUUCCUAUAGUGAGAUAUAUCACUUCUAUAUACAAGUGGAUUGGGUAGUAUUAUGUGUGUGAAUGUAUAUUUUGUAAACAUUUAAUCAGAUUGGUUUUAUUUUUUAUAAAUUACGUUUUACUACAGCCUUCGCUGUUGGCCUAUGUUGGUUAAAUUAUUAUGUACUGUUACUUGAAAUAUGUUGGGACAGUUUUUGUUCACCUGAAGGGUGUGUGAUCAUUUGGGCCAAUCAAGAUGGACUAUGGGUGGUGUGCAGAUGGUUUUGCAGGUUUUCCAUUGUUGCCGAGGAGAGAAACAAAAGGGAGAGAGAUGCUCUUGUGAAGCGGGAUAACAUUUUAUGUACGAA